UGAUUACCACAUAUGUAAUACAUAUAGAUUCAACAGUGCUUUCUUCCAAAAGAACAUAAAAUCUCCAUUAUCCAACUUCAAGAGGAAGUGUUUCCCAACUAGUCACUCUAGAUGAUGCCCUGCCAACUUCUGAUCUUGCCCUUAAGGAACUU
This is a non-coding RNA of Ceratotherium simum simum (southern white rhinoceros), 152 nucleotides long. The record is from RefSeq and is a predicted model, not a curated record. NCBI's taxonomy places the organism in Eukaryota, Metazoa, Chordata, Mammalia, Perissodactyla, Rhinocerotidae.